GUGUCAAUUAUGAGAACUCAUAAUGCCUAGAAAAGACAUUAUAACAUAAAAGUCAUCCUAAAUAAGAUUAUGCUGAGGCC
Molecule: small nucleolar RNA, 80 nt
Gene: SNORD115
Rfam family: Small nucleolar RNA SNORD115
About the family: HBII-52 is a member of the C/D class of snoRNAs, which contain the C (UGAUGA) and D (CUGA) box motifs. HBII-52 is encoded in a tandemly repeated array with another C/D snoRNA, HBII-85, in the Prader-Willi syndrome (PWS) region of chromosome 15.
Source: Ensembl